GAUGAACGCUGGCGGCGUGCCUAAUACAUGCAAGUCGAGCGAACAGACGAGGAGCUUGCUCCUCUGACGUUAGCGGCGGACGGGUGAGUAACACGUGGAUAACCUACCUAUAAGACUGGGAUAACUUCGGGAAACCGGAGCUAAUACCGGAUAAUAUAUUGAACCGCAUGGUUCAAUAGUGAAAGACGGUUUUGCUGUCACUUAUAGAUGGAUCCGCGCCGGAUUAGCUAGUUGGUAAGGUAACGGCUUACCAAGGCAACGAUGCGUAGCCGACCUGAGAGGGUGAUCAGCCACACUGGAACUGAGACACGGUCCAGACUCCUACGGGAGGCAGCAGUAGGGAAUCUUCCGCAAUGGGCGAAAGCCUGACGGAGCAACGCCGCGUGAGUGAUGAAGGUCUUCGGAUCGUAAAACUCUGUUAUUAGGGAAGAACAAAUGUGUAAGUAACUAUGCACGUCUUGACGGUACCUAAUCAGAAAGCCACGGCUAACUACGUG
RNAcentral lists this ribosomal RNA (497 nucleotides) under uncultured bacterium. RNAcentral describes it as "partial 16S ribosomal RNA". It matches the Rfam family "Bacterial small subunit ribosomal RNA", at positions 28 to 507 of the family's 1533-position model. The record is from RNAcentral.